GAUGAACGCUGGCGGCGUGCUUAACACAUGCAAGUCGGACGGAAAGGCUCCUGCUUGCAGGGGUACUCGAGUGGCGAACGGGUGAGUAACACGUGGGUGAUCUGCCCUGCACUUCGGGAUGAGCCUGGGAAACUGGGUCUAAUACCGGAUAGGACGAUGGUUUGGAUGCCAUUGUGGAAAGUUUUUUCGGUGUGGGAUGAGCUCGCGGCCUAUCAGCUUGUUGGUGGGGUAAUGGCCUACCAAGGCGUCGACGGGUAGCCGGCCUGAGAGGGUGUACGGCCACAUUGGGACUGAGAUACGGCCCAGACUCCUACGGGAGGCAGCAGUGGGGAAUAUUGCACAAUGGGCGCAAGCCUGAUGCAGCGACGCCGCGUGGGGGAUGACGGCCUUCGGGUUGUAAACUCCUUUCGCUAGGGACGAAGCGCAAGUGACGGUACCUGGAGAAGAAGCACCGGCUAACUACGUG
Molecule: ribosomal RNA, 466 nt
Filed under: uncultured bacterium
Lineage: Bacteria
Description: partial 16S ribosomal RNA
Rfam family: Bacterial small subunit ribosomal RNA
Source: RNAcentral